AAAUUAGGGGUUAAAGACGGGUUCUUCUAAGAUCCUCAAAGUUUUUUGAAGAACCUUAGUGUUCUUGGCACUGAAUAUUGCCCAGAAAAGUUUCGUCCAAGAACCCCAUAGGAAGUGGGGUUCAUCAAGGAACCUCCUUAGUUGGUGGGGGUUCUUGCAGGAACCUAACUGCCCAACUGAAACAUUUGGAUUUGAAAGGACAGCAGGUGCAGGCAGGUGCAACUUAAAAAUGUAAAGAUCUCCUUAAUUUAAGGUAUACAGAUAAAGAGGCAUACAAAGGACAAAGGUAUGUCAAUAGGUAUUGGUAUGUUAUGCAGAUCAUCCUCCUCCCUUACUUCUUCAAUGAAAAUAUCAUAGUCCUCUACGUUAUGGGCAAGACUUCACCCUCCCUACACCUCUGAUGAAUAUAUCAGGAAACCUGUUCGAUCACCAUGCACUGCAAAAUCAUUCGGUCUAUGGAUACGGAGAACAUCAACACAUUAACAUCAACAGGACAAAGGAUAUACACAUUGGACUCGGGGCUCUGCUGGGAGUUUGCCUCAUAUUUAGAUGUUUUUUUAUUCUGCUUUGCCACUAAAAUCAUAAUAAACACUGACAACUGAAAUAUUGUAUUCUUGUUAUGCGUAUUAUAAUUAUUAUUAAUAAUAAUUGGGG
Oncorhynchus masou masou (cherry salmon) is the source of this 654-nucleotide long non-coding RNA. RefSeq lists it as uncharacterized. The transcript is spliced from 3 exons. Lineage: Eukaryota; Metazoa; Chordata; Actinopteri; Salmoniformes; Salmonidae. The record is from RefSeq and is a predicted model, not a curated record.